This is a non-coding RNA of Irineochytrium annulatum, 72 nucleotides long. NCBI's taxonomy places the organism in Eukaryota, Fungi, Chytridiomycota, Chytridiomycetes, Chytridiales, Chytridiaceae. The record is from the annotation of a GenBank genome assembly.
GCCCGUAUAGCUCAGUCGUAGAGCGUUUGUCUUGUAAACAAAAGGUCCCGUGUUCAAUCCACGGUGGGGGCA